Molecule: ribosomal RNA, 806 nt
Filed under: uncultured bacterium
Lineage: Bacteria
Description: bacterial SSU rRNA
Rfam family: Bacterial small subunit ribosomal RNA
Source: RNAcentral
UAGAAGCGGUUAGUGGCGGACUGGUGAGUAACGCGUAAGCAAUCUGCCUAUUAGAGGGGGAUAACAGUGAGAAAUCACUGCUAAUACCGCAUAAGCUGUGAAUAUUGCAUGAUAAAAACAGAAAAGGAGCAAUCCGCUAAUAGAUGAGCUUGCGUCUGAUUAGUUAGUUGGUGAGGUAACGGCCCACCAAGACGAUGAUCAGUAGCCGGACUGAGAGGUUAAACGGCCACAUUGGGACUGAGAUACGGCCCAGACUCCUACGGGAGGCAGCAGUCGGGAAUAUUGCGCAAUGGAGGAAACUCUGACGCAGUGACGCCGCGUGCAGGAAGAAGGUUUUCGGAUUGUAAACUGCUUUAGACAGGGAAGAAACAAAUGACGGUACCUGUAGAAUAAGCUCCGGCUAACUACGUGCCAGCAGCCGCGGUAAUACGUAGGGAGCAAGCGUUAUCCGGAUUUAUUGGGUGUAAAGGGUGCGUAGACGGGUAUACAAGUUAGUAGUGAAAUCCCUCGGCUUAACUGAGGAACUGCUACUAAAACUAUAUAUCUUGAGUACUGGAGGGGAAAGCGGAAUUCCUAGUGUAGCGGUGAAAUGCGUAGAUAUUAGGAAGAACACCGGUGGCGAAGGCGGCUUUCUGGACAGAAACUGACGUUGAGGCACGAAAGUGUGGGGAGCAAACAGGAUUAGAUACCCUGGUAGUCCACACCGUAAACGAUGGAUACUAGGUGUAGGUGGUGAUGAAUCAUCUGUGCCGUCGCAAACGCAAUAAGUAUCCCACCUGGGGAGUACGACCGCAAGGUUGAAACUC